GUGGGGAAUCUUCCGCAAUGGACGAAAGUCUGACGGAGCAACGCCGCGUGAGUGAAGAAGGUUUUCGGAUCGUAAAGCUCUUUCGUUAGGGACGAACGUGCCCUUUGUGAAUAAUGAGGAGUAAUGACGGUACCUAAAUAAGAAGCCACGGCUAACUACGUGCCAGCAGCCGCGGUAAUACGUAGGUGGCAAGCGUUGUCCGGAAUUAUUGGGCGUAAAGCGCGCGCAGGCGGGAUAUCAAGUCUGUCUUAAAAGUGCGAGGCUCAACGUCGUGAGGGGACAGAAACUGGUAUUCUUGAGUGUCGGAGAGGAAAGUGGAAUUCCAAGUGUAGCGGUGAAAUGCGUAGAGAUUUGGAAGAACACCAGUGGCGAAGGCGACUUUCUGGACGAUGUCUGACGCUGAGGCGCGAAAGCUAGGGGAGCGAACGGGAUUAGAUACCCGAGUAGUCC
RNAcentral lists this ribosomal RNA (450 nucleotides) under uncultured bacterium. Its description in RNAcentral is "partial 16S ribosomal RNA". It matches the Rfam family "Bacterial small subunit ribosomal RNA", at positions 354 to 796 of the family's 1533-position model. The record is from RNAcentral.